Oncorhynchus gorbuscha (pink salmon) is the source of this 739-nucleotide long non-coding RNA. RefSeq lists it as uncharacterized. The record is from RefSeq and is a predicted model, not a curated record. NCBI's taxonomy places the organism in Eukaryota, Metazoa, Chordata, Actinopteri, Salmoniformes, Salmonidae. The transcript is spliced from 3 exons.
UGUGUUUAGAUAAAUGAGGAGAGAUCAAGAGAUGUGGGGCAAGAGAGUGAAAAGCUCAGACAGUCAGCAAGUUUCCUCCCAGCAUUCUCAGGAAGCCAGAGGGGAGGCAAGGUGCUGCUUGGUCAAUGUUUCUCUUCACUAGAAAGACUUCCUGUUUUUGAGGGGGAGGACAGAGUUUGAGCACUGACGUAUGUAUGUAGAAAAAUCACUACUCAAAAGAAGUAAGAAGGACCAAGGGACCCAUUCAGACAAUAGACCAGUCCAGUCAACAUUCAGGAGAAACUCCCCUGGCACAGAACACUGAGCGAAAAAAGGCCAAAGGAAGAAGACUCCCUUAAUUAUGGACUCGGAGAGGAGCUAAUUGUCUCCUUUGGGUCCAGGCUGCGGUCGGAUUGGUCUGAUUGGUUCCCUUUGGUCCAGAAGGUGGUCUUAUUGGUUCCUUUGGGUCCAGGCUGACGCUAUGGUCAGGUGGCCAGACGUGAUGCCAGGAUUCACUCCUCACAUUGUUCCUCUCAGGGACUCAAGCCUUCCGGUGGUAUAUAUGAGUCAGCUGCUCUGCUGUGGACAGGGCAAUUGGCUAGUACACUACAUGAAUACACUACAUGACCAAAAGUAUGUGGACACUUGCUAGUCGAACAUCAUAUUCAAAAAUGGGGAUUAACAUGGAGUUGGUCCCCCCUUUGCUGCUACAACAGCCUCUUCUUUGCUGGGAAGGCUUUCCACUAGAUGUUGGAACAUU